UACGUAGGGUGCAAGCGUUGUCCGGAAUUAUUGGGCGUAAAGAGCUCGUAGGCGGUUUGUCGCGUCUGCUGUGAAAAUCCAGGGCUUAACCCUGGACCUGCAGUGGGUACGGGCAGACUGGAGUGCGGUAGGGGAGAUCGGAAUUCCUGGUGUAGCGGUGAAAUGCGCAGAUAUCAGGAGGAACACCCAUAGCGAAGGCAGCUUGCUGGGACGUUACUGACGCUAAGGCGCGAAAGCGUGGGGAGCGAACAGG
This 253-nucleotide ribosomal RNA is filed under the name uncultured bacterium. RNAcentral describes it as "partial 16S ribosomal RNA". It matches the Rfam family "Bacterial small subunit ribosomal RNA", at positions 524 to 776 of the family's 1533-position model. The record is from RNAcentral.